RNAcentral lists this unclassified non-coding RNA (226 nucleotides) under uncultured fungus. Its description in RNAcentral is "sequence contains ITS1, 5.8S rRNA gene". The stretch from base 178 to 226 matches the Rfam family "5.8S ribosomal RNA", at positions 1 to 49 of the family's 154-position model. Lineage: Eukaryota; Fungi. The record is from RNAcentral.
UCUCCGUAGGUGAACCUGCGGAGGGAUCAUUACUGCGUUAGGGCGUCUGUCCGACCUCCAACCCUUUGUGAAUCGUACUCGUUGCUUCGGGGGCGACCCUGCCGUCCGCGGCUGAGCGCCCCCGGGGUAAAUCAAACACUGCAUUCUCUGCGUCGGAGUAUUAGUAAAUCUAAUCAAAACUUUCAACAACGGAUCUCUUGGUUCUGGCAUCGAUGAAGAACGCAGC